CUACACUCCAGUCCAUUUAGAGUGCAGGAGGUGGGAUUUGAGGAGACAGAGGAAGACUGAACUCUCUAAGAGUUUCAUAAGAUUGCACAAAAUUUCUAAGCAGCACAGUGGUACAUGUAUUUUCAUUUGGGUAUCUCUUGCCUUCCACAGAAUUGGCUUGAAAGGUAAGUGUUA
This 174-nucleotide long non-coding RNA is filed under the name Capra hircus (goat). RNAcentral's name for it is "lncRNA (ENSCHIG00000007302.1)". Lineage: Eukaryota; Metazoa; Chordata; Mammalia; Artiodactyla; Bovidae. The record is from RNAcentral.